RNAcentral lists this transfer RNA (70 nucleotides) under Marmota monax (woodchuck). RNAcentral describes it as "tRNA.Ala". The stretch from base 5 to 65 matches the Rfam family "tRNA", at positions 6 to 65 of the family's 71-position model. Rfam says of the family: Transfer RNA (tRNA) molecules are approximately 80 nucleotides in length. Their secondary structure includes four short double-helical elements and three loops (D, anti-codon, and T loops). Lineage: Eukaryota; Metazoa; Chordata; Mammalia; Rodentia; Sciuridae. The record is from RNAcentral.
GGGCUGGGGCUCAGUGGCAGAGUGCUUGCCUAGCAUGCAUGAGGCACUGGGUUCAAUCCCCAGCACCACA